GAUGAACGCUAGCUACAGGCUUAACACAUGCAAGUCGAGGGGAAACGACAUCGAAAGCUUGCUUUUGAUGGGCGGCGACCGGCGCACGGGGGAGUAACGCGUAUCCAACCUGCCCAUCACUUGGGAAUAACCUUGCGAAAGUAAGACUAAUACCCAAUGAUAUCCCACGAAGGCAUCGGAAUGGGAUUAAAGAUGUAUCGGUGAUGGAUGGGGAUGCGUCUGAUUAGCUUGUUGGCGGGGUAACGGCCCACCAAGGCAACGAACAGUAGGUGAUCGGAGAGGAGGAGCAGCGACACCAGAAUUGAGACGCGGCCCAGACCCCAACCCGAGGGGGCGGAGGAGUGUAGUGUACUAGGGCCGUGGGCAUGAUCCGAACCUACCAAGUUGGUGACAAGGAGCCCGGCCUUUUGGAUCGUAAAUGUUUUUAUAAGGGAACAAAGUGGGUAACGUGUGACUUUUUGCAUGUACCUUAUGAAUAAGAACCGGCUAAUUCCGUG
This 497-nucleotide ribosomal RNA is filed under the name uncultured bacterium. RNAcentral's name for it is "partial 16S ribosomal RNA". It matches the Rfam family "Bacterial small subunit ribosomal RNA", at positions 28 to 507 of the family's 1533-position model. The record is from RNAcentral.